RNAcentral lists this long non-coding RNA (3294 nucleotides) under Sus scrofa (pig). RNAcentral's name for it is "lncRNA (ENSSSCG00065064510.1)". Lineage: Eukaryota; Metazoa; Chordata; Mammalia; Artiodactyla; Suidae. The record is from RNAcentral.
GAACUCAAGGCAGCUGCAGUUUAUAUGGGGUUUUUUCGUGGAUGUGGUGCAGGCCGAGCUCACAUCUGAAUAGCCACUUAUGGUCUGGGCCAUGAAAGGUGUUCCCAGUGUGGGUCCUUGACCAUCAUACACAUACACCUGUGUUCCUCUGAAGUGUGUGACAGCAGCGAGGAGGUACAUGCCCGGGCCUGGUUCAAGGAAACUACAGAUUUGAAUGACUGAAGAGGGAGGAGCUUUCAGUCUCCAUUGCUUCUUAAGGAAAUGUAAUAGAGUCUAAUUGAAGAGAAUAUGAUUCAAGAUACAGACUGGAAUUUCUUAGUCAAGGAUCACUGACCUCAACUAUUUUACAAAACUUAUCAGCAGAACGUUUGAUUUCCUACAAAUCCCAAAAGACAGAUUGGCUGUGCUUUUAUGCAACAUUAACCUGGAUUUUCUAGACAGAAACCAUCAAAUGCAAGCUCAGAGCCCUAUGUGUAUUGCCCAUUAACAGUGGUAGCUCAGUUUGACUAUUCCCUCACUACAAGUUGAAGAAAUGGAUACAAAAUUCUCACAAGAUUCUUAGUCCCUGGAUCCUGGCCUGGUGAAAAGGCGUGGCUGUUAUCUCUCAACAUGGUACUACAGUAGGGCAGCUGUGCCCUGAGAUGUUACCAGCUUCAGACACAGCCUGCUGUCCACCUUCUCCAUGAAGUUCCAGAGCCUUGUGGAAAACCCAGAUGAUUCUGCUCUCCUCACAGUGAGUUCUUUUCUGGGACCUUUAUUGUUCUUUCCUGCCCCCAGAUUUCAGUCAUAGCCACCCCAACCAAAUCACCAAAUCUCAGAGUCAGCUUUAAAGCUUCCCUCCCAGAAGGUCCCCUCAGUGCAAAGGAAAAUUCCCUUGUGUCUGUUGAGAACUAUGCCAACUAAGGAUAGUUAGGAAUGGUAACAUGGGCCAAGCUACAGAAAAGUUUCAUAAGGGCAAAUGACAACUUCCAGAUUCACAUUAAUUUAAAAAAGGUCAUUCAGGAGGUUUAGAAUGAGUCAAAGUGUUGCACAAAGAUGACCUUUUAUUUGUAAUACUAAACAGUGAAACACUGACAGAAUUUUGAAAGCUCACCUUGCCAGGGGACCUGCCUUAUUGGCCUAAUGAAUUUUUUGUUUGAUUAUUUUAUUUUAUUGUCAAGAGCCCCAAUGUGAGAUAUAGACAGGGUAUUCCUUUUCUUAUGGACACUAAUUUCACAAAUUAAAAAAAAAGAAAUAUGUAUAUAUGUGUGUAUAUAUAUAUUAGAUGGGGUAUACAACUACAAGAACAGUGAAUACAGUGUGAACCAAAUAUAAAAGUAAAUAACCAGAAAAAUAAAAUGAAAAAUACAAUAAAUGUAGGCAGCAACCACUUGGUUGUGAGACACUGCAUUAAUCCUCUUUAUCAUUAGUCUCAGAAAUGAAUGUGUAUUAUUUUUAAAACUAGAGAAAAAUACUAAAAAUUUGGAAAUCAACACAUAAGAGGAUAAUUGUGGUUUUUCUUUAUUGUUUUGUUUUUCGAAGCAGAAGUAAUAUCUAUUACAAAAAUAAGAAAUUACAUGGUCUAAAAUAUAGAACAAUGAGGAUUUUAAUAUUGCUCCCUGGUGUAACUUUUUUAGAAGUCUGUCUCUGAAAAUAGAGGAAAAUGUUUAUUUUAAUGAGAAAAAAAAAAGGUAUUUGCUCUUCACACAAUUCUUCUCAAAUAUUUUUAACUUGUAUUUACCCUCAGAUAUGAAUAUGUCAUUUAUUAAUUUCUGUCAAACUUCUUAAAUUUAUUAUUUCCCACCUGUAAGGCUUUAGAUAGAAAUGUGUUCUUGGUUUUUUACCUGCAACGAUAUAAUAUUUUACAUACCCUGAAAUUACGUUCUUUUUCUGCAUGGUAAAUCUUUUUAGCAUUCUUGGAUUUGGUCACUUACUGAUAUUGUUCGUAAUUUUUGUGUUGCUCUUGUAAUUUCACUUCGUCAUUGACUUUCCAAAAUGAAAGGUCUUGCUUUUAUUUUUCAGUCUAAUUUCCUAUUGUUAGAAUCCCUUCAUAAUUUUAUUUGCCUUCUCUAGGACUUUUAAAUAUCCUUAGUAGGGGUACUGACCAGACCUGGGUAAGAAGUAUUUGUCCACUGUGUUUUUCUCAUUUUUUCAAAUUUGGGUAAGAGAGUGCAUCCAGUGUUAUUUAUAAUGCCCCUCUUUAAAACACCACAGUGAAACAAUGGCAGUUGAUGUUUCCCAGAUGCUUCCUGUCUCUUGAGCAUCUAAGACCAAAGUGGUAGCCCAUAAUGCAUUGCCAUGGCAGGCAGGCACAUGGGACGAGCCAGGGCAGCUGCAGUGGCUCUGGCAGCUUGGGACUGAGUAAUAGAAUCAUCAAGGUCAUAGUGGCUCCUCAGAGUCUCUUCAAGGUGUCUUCGGUCAUUUCCUUGGCAGUCUCAGCCCAUUUGCAGAGUAACACUGGUGUUAGAGCAGUGGCGUUUAAUAAGGAACUUGAUCCUAUAUAGAAACUCAUCAUGGGCAAGUUUAGAGAAUACUAACUGAAACAGCAGGAGUCUGAGGAUCUGUUGAUAUUGGCCCAGAGUAUCAGCAAGAACUGUAAAGGGAGUUUUUUAGGCAUAAGCAAAGGUAUGGUAAGGGAGACAUGCCUACAUUUCUUAUCUUUGUAUUUGAAGAUUCUAAUACUGAGAUCAUGGAAAAACCUCAGUGUUGAAGAAAUAAUGUAGGCUAUCUGGUAAUUUGUCCAAGAUUGGUUGUAGAACUAAUCCUAAGUAUCAGCAUAAACAUCAUUUCACACCUCUCUAAUGUUCUUUUAAUUCUGAUUCCAAAUGAAUUACUGGUUGAUACUAGGUAUAACAAAAAAGGAAAGAAAAUAAAUGAUUUAUAGAGGAUUCUAAUGUAGCAUAACUCUGCUCCCUAAAUGUCCUCUUCUGCUUUCAUUUUCUCUUCAAACAAACAAACAAUUUGGACAGGGUUUAAAAAGGUAAGAGAGACAGAAAAACAAUCCAGAUAAUUUUUGAGCAGUUUCAAAAGGUUAACAGUAUUUUCUCAUUGAUAGGUUGGCAUUUUGCAGAUAUUUAAUUAUCAUUAACACUAGUCCAUAAACAAUGUAGCUCUGACCCCCAAGGCUUUACCCAUACCCAUUUUGUCUAAAUGCCAACAAACUAAAUAUGUUUUUGACCUCAAUAUUUUCAGUUAUCCUAAACUGAAUAAUUUUGUGGAGAAGUUAAGAACUUUAACCAUUUUAUUUGGCACUUGCGCGCGUGCGCGCGCGCGCGCGCGCGCGUGUGUGUGUGUGUGUGUGUGUGUGCAUGCAUG